GUCUUCGUGGUGUAGUGGUCAGCACACUCGGCGCGUAUUCGAGAGGUCCGUAGUUCGAAUCCCGGCGAGGACA
RNAcentral lists this transfer RNA (73 nucleotides) under Stegodyphus mimosarum. It matches the Rfam family "tRNA". From Rfam's summary of the family: Transfer RNA (tRNA) molecules are approximately 80 nucleotides in length. Their secondary structure includes four short double-helical elements and three loops (D, anti-codon, and T loops). The record is from Rfam by way of RNAcentral. Lineage: Eukaryota; Metazoa; Arthropoda; Arachnida; Araneae; Eresidae.